This 536-nucleotide ribosomal RNA is filed under the name Clostridioides difficile. RNAcentral describes it as "bacterial SSU rRNA". It matches the Rfam family "Bacterial small subunit ribosomal RNA", at positions 1 to 562 of the family's 1533-position model. Lineage: Bacteria; Bacillati; Bacillota; Clostridia; Peptostreptococcales; Peptostreptococcaceae. The record is from RNAcentral.
UUUUAUUUGAGAGUUUGAUCCUGGCUCAGGAUGAACGCUGGCGGCGUGCCUAACACAUGCAAGUUGAGCGAUUUACUUCGGUAAAGAGCGGCGGACGGGUGAGUAACGCGUGGGUAACCUACCCUGUACACACGGAUAACAUACCGAAAGGUAUGCUAAUACGGGAUAAUAUAUUUGAGAGGCAUCUCUUAAAUAUCAAAGGUGAGCCAGUACAGGAUGGACCCGCGUCUGAUUAGCUAGUUGGUAAGGUAACGGCUUACCAAGGCGACGAUCAGUAGCCGACCUGAGAGGGUGAUCGGCCACAUUGGAACUGAGACACGGUCCAAACUCCUACGGGAGGCAGCAGUGGGGAAUAUUGCACAAUGGGCGAAAGCCUGAUGCAGCAACGCCGCGUGAGUGAUGAAGGCCGUCGGGUCGUAAAACUCUGUCCUCAAGGAAGAUAAUGACGGUACUGGAGGAGGAAGCCCCGGCUAACUACGUGCCAGCAGCCGCGGUAAUACGUAGGGGGCUAGCGUUAUCCGGAUUUACUGGGCGUA